GACGAACGCUGGCGGCGUGCUUAACACAUGCAAGUCGAACGGUAAGGCCCUUCGGGGUACACGAGUGGCGAACGGGUGAGUAACAAGUGGGUGGUCUGCCCUGCACUUCGGGAUAAGCCUGGGAAACUGGGUCUAAUACCGGAUAGGACCACUGCCUGCAUGGGUGGGGGUGGAAAGCUUUUGCGGUGUGGGAUGGGCCCGCGGCCUAUCAGCUUGGUGGUGGGGUGAUGGCCUACCAAGGCGACGACGGGUAGCCGGCCUGAGAGGGUGACCGGCCACACUGGGACUGAGAUACGGCCCAGACUCCUACGGGAGGCAGCAGUGGGGAAUAUUGCACAAUGGGCGCAAGCCUGAUGCAGCGACGCCGCGUGAGGGAUGACGGCCUUCGGGUUGUAAACCUCUUUCAGCACCGGCGAAGCGCAAGUGACGGUAGGUGCAGAAGAAGGACCGGCCAACUACGUGCCAGCCGCCGCCGUAA
Molecule: ribosomal RNA, 478 nt
Filed under: uncultured bacterium
Lineage: Bacteria
Description: partial 16S ribosomal RNA
Rfam family: Bacterial small subunit ribosomal RNA
Source: RNAcentral